RNAcentral lists this ribosomal RNA (253 nucleotides) under uncultured bacterium. RNAcentral describes it as "partial 16S ribosomal RNA". It matches the Rfam family "Bacterial small subunit ribosomal RNA", at positions 524 to 776 of the family's 1533-position model. The record is from RNAcentral.
GACAGAGGGUGCAAACGUUGUUCGGAAUUACUGGGCGUAAAGCGCGUGUAGGCGGCUCUGUAAGUCGGGUGUGAAAUCCCACGGCUCAACCGUGGAAGUGCACCCGAAACUGCAAAGCUAGAGUCUCGGAGAGGAUCGUGGAAUUCUCGGUGUAGAGGUGAAAUUCGUAGAUAUCGAGAGGAACACCGGUGGCGAAGGCGGCGAUCUGGACGAUGACUGACGCUGAGACGCGAAAGCGUGGGGAGCAAACAGG